Molecule: non-coding RNA, 27 nt
Filed under: Cricetulus griseus (Chinese hamster)
Lineage: Eukaryota; Metazoa; Chordata; Mammalia; Rodentia; Cricetidae
Source: RNAcentral
AAGAACUUGCCAAAGAGAUUCGCGUCA